AUGGCAUGGUCUAGAUCGAGUGUUCAUGGAGAAAACCAUGGGGAAGAAGAUGCCCCGGUCACACGUGCCGAGCUGCAGCGACUCGAGAACAACUUACUCCAAGCCAUGGAAAGGAUGCUUCAUGAGCAUCCUCUAGCAGGUGGUGAUAGGGUUCGACACCGACAACACCCUAUUGAUCCACUUGAGGAAGUUGGCGAUGAGAAUUUUGUGCAUGCUGCUGUUGACGGUGACUUGGAGGAUGAUAACAACAGCCAUGGUGGACAUGUGGCUCCUGCUCAUGGGCGUGGUGCUGCUGCUCGUGGAGAGCAGCGAGGAGUACAACUUCGAGGGCGAGGCCAUGGUCCUUGA
Molecule: ribosomal RNA, 348 nt
Filed under: Triticum aestivum (bread wheat)
Lineage: Eukaryota; Viridiplantae; Streptophyta; Magnoliopsida; Poales; Poaceae
Description: partial small subunit ribosomal RNA
Source: RNAcentral